AUGUGAUGUGACAUGCCCGUUUGGGUUUUACUAUGAUAUUGAAUUAUUAUUAUUAUUUAAUUGAUUUGGAAAACGGGGUGUUACAAUCCU
Molecule: microRNA precursor, 90 nt
Filed under: Medicago truncatula (barrel medic)
Lineage: Eukaryota; Viridiplantae; Streptophyta; Magnoliopsida; Fabales; Fabaceae
Description: MIR2617 microRNA precursor family
Rfam family: MIR2617 microRNA precursor family
Source: Rfam by way of RNAcentral